RNAcentral lists this transfer RNA (76 nucleotides) under Pallavicinia levieri. RNAcentral describes it as "partial tRNA-Leu". Lineage: Eukaryota; Viridiplantae; Streptophyta; Jungermanniopsida; Pallaviciniales; Pallaviciniaceae. The record is from RNAcentral.
UCGAAAUUGGUAGACGCUGCGGACUUAAAAUCCAUUGGCUUUAUAGACCGUGAGGGUUCAAGUCCCUCUACCCCCA